RNAcentral lists this long non-coding RNA (531 nucleotides) under Brassica napus (rape). RNAcentral describes it as "long non-coding RNA (BNAP_LNC026074)". The record is from RNAcentral. Lineage: Eukaryota; Viridiplantae; Streptophyta; Magnoliopsida; Brassicales; Brassicaceae.
UCUCUCGUGACAGUUUUCACUGCAGCAAUAUCCUUUGCCAUCUCUCUCUCAUCACACUCUCCGUCGCAUGCUCCAUCUCGCUCUCUCCGUCGCUUACAUGUUAGAGAUGUGCACCACCGAGUUAAGGAAGGGAAGUAAAUCUUACAUAUUCGAAAUGUGUGAGCUUAAAAAUGCAUGUUAUCUUCCCAAUCUCUAUCCACCUGACCCGACCAUAGCAUUCACCAUCUGUCUCUACAAAACUGGAGCAAAAAACUUGAUGACUGAGCAUGCAAACAGAGUUCAAAGUUUAUGCUUACUAUUGCGCCAUCACAGCUUGUAGCUAAAACCAAAUGAAACAAAACACAUAAAAGUACCAGACAAUCAGCUUUCUUUAUAUGAGAAAAACGCUGCCUUCAAUACGCACUACUCACAGACCUACCAAAGGUUUCUCAGCUGGACAAGCAACGAAACCAGCAAAUCUGUUUUGCUGUGACCGAACCAAUAUCAAUAUAGGCAAUUAUAAAAAGUUAAAUCUGGAGCAGAAGUAAUGGC